AACACAUGCAAGUCGAGCGGAUGAGAGGAGCUUGCUCCUUGAUUUAGCGGCGGACGGGUGAGUAAUGCCUAGGAAUCUGCCUGGUAGUGGGGGAUAACGUCCGGAAACGGGCGCUAAUACCGCAUACGUCCUACGGGAGAAAGCAGGGGACCUUCGGGCCUUGCGCUAUCAGAUGAGCCUAGGUCGGAUUAGCUAGUUGGUGAGGUAAUGGCUCACCAAGGCGACGAUCCGUAACUGGUCUGAGAGGAUGAUCAGUCACACUGGAACUGAGACACGGUCCAGACUCCUACGGGAGGCAGCAGUGGGGAAUAUUGGACAAUGGGCGAAAGCCUGAUCCAGCCAUGCCGCGUGUGUGAAGAAGGUCUUCGGAUUGUAAAGCACUUUAAGUUGGGAGGAAGGGCAUUAACCUAAUACGUUAGUGUUUUGACGUUACCGACAGAAUAAGCACCGGCUAACUUCGUGCCAGCAGCCGCGGUAAUACGAAGGGUGCAAGCGUUAAUCGGAAUUACUGGGCGUAAAGCGCGCGUAGGUGGUUCGUUAAGUUGGAUGUGAAAGCCCCGGGCUCAACCUGGGAACUGCAUCCAAAACUGGCGAGCUAGAGUACGGUAGAGGG
RNAcentral lists this ribosomal RNA (613 nucleotides) under Pseudomonas sp. B18. RNAcentral's name for it is "bacterial SSU rRNA". It matches the Rfam family "Bacterial small subunit ribosomal RNA", at positions 50 to 658 of the family's 1533-position model. Lineage: Bacteria; Pseudomonadati; Pseudomonadota; Gammaproteobacteria; Pseudomonadales; Pseudomonadaceae. The record is from RNAcentral.